This 73-nucleotide transfer RNA is filed under the name Dendronephthya gigantea. Its description in RNAcentral is "tRNA-Thr". It matches the Rfam family "tRNA". Rfam says of the family: Transfer RNA (tRNA) molecules are approximately 80 nucleotides in length. Their secondary structure includes four short double-helical elements and three loops (D, anti-codon, and T loops). Lineage: Eukaryota; Metazoa; Cnidaria; Anthozoa; Malacalcyonacea; Nephtheidae. The record is from RNAcentral.
GCCUUAUUAGCUCAGUGGUUAGAGCACUGGUCUCGUAAACCAGCGGUCCUGAGUUCAACUCUCUGAUAAGGCU